GACGGAGGGUGCUAGCGUUGUUCGGAAUCACUGGGCGUAAAGGGCGCGUAGGCGGCUGUGGCAGUCGGGUGUGAAAGCCCGGAGCUCAACUCCGGAACGGCACUCGAGACGCCAUGGCUGGAGGCCGGAAGAGGAGGGUGGAAUACCCAGUGUAGAGGUGAAAUUCGUAGAUAUUGGGUGGAACACCGGUGGCGAAAGCGGCUCUCUGGUCCGGACCUGACGCUGAGGCGCGAAAGCUAGGGGAGCAAACAGG
RNAcentral lists this ribosomal RNA (253 nucleotides) under uncultured bacterium. RNAcentral's name for it is "partial 16S ribosomal RNA". It matches the Rfam family "Bacterial small subunit ribosomal RNA", at positions 524 to 776 of the family's 1533-position model. The record is from RNAcentral.